This 915-nucleotide ribosomal RNA is filed under the name uncultured archaeon. RNAcentral's name for it is "bacterial SSU rRNA". It matches the Rfam family "Archaeal small subunit ribosomal RNA", at positions 1 to 922 of the family's 1478-position model. The record is from RNAcentral.
UUCCGGUUGAUCCUGCCGGACCUGACUGCUAUCGGAUUGAUACUAAGCCAUGCGAGUCUUUGCAGUAAUGCAAGGCAUACGGCUCAGUAACACGUAGUCAACUUACCCUAUGGACGAGGAUAAUCUCGGGAAACUGAGCAUAAUACUCGAUAGAUCAUAAUGCCUGGAAUGGUUUAUGGUUGAAAUGAUUCGUCGCCAUAGGAUGGGACUGCGGCCUAUCAGCUUGUUGGUGAGGUAAUGGCCCACCAAGGCGAUUACAGGUACGGGCUCUGAGAGGAGAAGCCCGGAGAUGGGUACUGAGACAAGGACCCAGGCCCUAUGGGGCGCAGCAGGCGAGAAAACUUUGCAAUGUGCGAAAGCACGACAAGGUUAAUCCGAGUGAUUUCUGCUAAAGAAAUCUUUUGCAAGUCAUAAAACCACUAGUGAAUAAGGGGUGGGCAAGUUCUGGUGUCAGCCGCCGCGGUAAAACCAGCACCUCAAGUGGUCAGGAGGAUUAUUGGGCCUAAAGCAUCCGUAGCCGGCUUUGUUAGUUUUCGGUUAAAUCCAUGCGCUCAACGCAUGGGCUGCCGAAAAUACUGCAUAGCUAGGGAGUGGGAGAGGUAGACGGUACUCAGUAGGAAGGGGUAAAAUCCUUUGAUCUAUUGAUGACCACCUGUGGCGAAGGCGGUCUACCAGAACACGUUCGACGGUGAGGGAUGAAAGCUGGGGGAGCAAACCGGAUUAGAUACCCGGGUAGUCCCAGCUGUAAACGAUGCAGACUCGAUGAUGCAUUGGCAUAAUAGCCAAUGCAGUGUCGCAGGGAAGCCGUUAAGUCUGCCGCCUGGGAAGUACGUACGCAAGUAUGAAACUUAAAGGAAUUGGCGGGGGAGCACCACAAGGGGUGAAGCCUGCGGUUCAAUUGGAUUCAACGCCGGG